Small nuclear RNA from Equus asinus (donkey), 172 nucleotides. Its record names the gene U2. It matches the Rfam family "U2 spliceosomal RNA". Rfam says of the family: U2 is a small nuclear RNA (snRNA) component of the spliceosome (involved in pre-mRNA splicing). Complementary binding between U2 snRNA (in an area lying towards the 5' end but 3' to hairpin I) and the branchpoint sequence (BPS) of the intron results the bulging out of an unpaired adenosine, on the BPS, which initiates a nucleophilic attack at the intronic 5' splice site, thus starting the first of two transesterification reactions that mediate splicing. NCBI's taxonomy places the organism in Eukaryota, Metazoa, Chordata, Mammalia, Perissodactyla, Equidae. The record is from Ensembl.
AUCACUUCUUGGCCUUUUGGCUAAGAUCAAGUGUACUAUCUGUUCUUAUCAGUUUAAAAGGGAAGGAGAAAUAAAGACUUCCUCAGACAAACAAAAUUGAGGGAAUUUGUUUCCAGUAGACUUGCUUUGCAAGAAAUGUUUUUAAAAGUUCUUCAGAGAAAAAAAAAGUUUU